UAAUUACUCCCUCCGUCCGAAAGUACUCGUCGCACAAAUGUAUAAAAAUGAAUAUAUCUAGAACUAAAAUACAUCUUGAUACGUCCAUUCCUAUGACAAAUAUUUUCGGACGGAGGAAGUAAUUU
This is a non-coding RNA of Hordeum vulgare subsp. vulgare (domesticated barley), 125 nucleotides long. Lineage: Eukaryota; Viridiplantae; Streptophyta; Magnoliopsida; Poales; Poaceae. The record is from Rfam.